Salvia hispanica is the source of this 1319-nucleotide non-coding RNA. The record is from RefSeq and is a predicted model, not a curated record. NCBI's taxonomy places the organism in Eukaryota, Viridiplantae, Streptophyta, Magnoliopsida, Lamiales, Lamiaceae.
AAUCCCCAAAUUAGAAAAUCGGGACAGCAGCUCUUCUCCUCCUCUUUCUCGGCAGAAAUCGUCACUCCCGACGGUCUCACGCCGUCCGCCGGAGAUUCCACGCACGGAGUAACCUUUCUUUUUAACGGAUCGGGUUUCCCCUCAACUCAUUUUUACUCUCUUUUGUCUUCGGCGAGAUCAUCGCGGAGUUUCCGCAUUCUCAGGCGGAGUCGCCGUGGUGGAAGGAGGCGUCGCCUCACCUCCGCGCUCCAGCAACUCACCGCCUCGCCAGCUGCUGCUCCGCCGUUCCUCGCGCUGCUGCUCCUGCAGCGCCGCGGCCUCACGUCGGCGUUUGCUCGAUGCCGGGCAGCCCCUCCGCCUAAGCUAAGCUUCCUCCCCUUCCCCUUCUACUCAAAUUCUAACAAUAAAAACGAAAGCUUUGGGGCUCUCUAGUGCUUAUUGAUUCGAAACUUGGCUGUACUUAAUCACUGGAAGGAGCUUGCCAUUGUUUUUGCUACACUUAGUCUUGUUUCUAUGAUAUACUUGUGGUUUACUGAUUUAGGAGUAUCCCAUACUUGACUAAGCAUUGGUACCAUCUGUUGAUGUUCGGUUCUUUAUGCUUGCUACUUUUAUGACUAUUCUAUUGAGCUUCUAUGAAUCUAAGUUAUUGGCUAUCUAUUGUGGUUGAUCUACGUGAUGCGAUGGAGAUGGUUGUUGAGGUUGUUACCUCACUUUGAUGAUUCCUCUUGGAAGGGACUGAUGUCCUGCCUCAAACUCUCCUCUUUGCUCCUCCUCCCUUCCUUGCUAUUCUCUUGAAUAUUUGGUGAAAUUAUAGUGUUGAGAAUGAGGGGAUGAGAAGGAGAUUGGGGCUGUUUAUAUAGUGCUAUUGGAAUCUAUGUUUGAGACUUGGAGGCAAAGGCUCCUAUUUUGGGGUUGCUAGCUCUUUCUCUUUCGAGCUUGAUGAUUGUGAGAUUCUUGCCGUUUUGGUGAUUGUGGCUGAUCUUCUUGGCUGAUUUCUCGGCCUUGAUCGACGGGGAGAUGAGAGUUUGACUCAUUUUCUACUUUUGGGCUUGUGUACAUGGAGGCAUUCUUGGAGCUUGUGGAGGGGAGCAAAAUCGAGAAUAAGAAUGAGAGGGAAAGAAAGAAGAUGCUCCUUUUGAGCUCAUUUGGUUCUAUCCCCAAUUUAGUUUGCUUCCAAACUUGAGAAUUAAAGAAGUAGGAUAGAUAGUGUAGAAUAGGUGCAUGUUGAUUUUAUCACACUUGCAGGCAUGUACUAUUUCCAUCAUCCAUGUAUUUUAUUCCUCAAAAACUAUCUAAUACAAGCAUAGUUUUUACUUUUA